UAUAAAGUUACGCUUAAUUUUCAGCAUAUGCUGAGAAGCGGGGGAACCAUUUUUUUGGGGCGAAUCAAUUCAUAUUGUAGGGAACCAUCUUUCCCGAGCCCGACAGCUAACCUCGUCAGUAGUAGAUGGGUCAAAUU
Molecule: small RNA, 137 nt
Filed under: Paenibacillus sp.
Lineage: Bacteria; Bacillati; Bacillota; Bacilli; Caryophanales; Paenibacillaceae
Description: c-di-AMP sequence
Rfam family: c-di-AMP riboswitch aptamer (ydaO/yuaA leader)
About the family: This family represents a conserved RNA structure found upstream of the ydaO and yuaA genes in Bacillus subtilis and related genes in other bacteria. The ydaO/yuaA element is thought to act as a genetic "off" switch for the ydaO and yuaA genes in its native state. It is believed that the element may be triggered during osmotic shock leading to activation of ydaO, a predicted amino acid transporter gene, and members of the yuaA-yubG operon which code for KtrA and KtrB K+ transporters.
Source: RNAcentral